Molecule: unclassified non-coding RNA, 208 nt
Filed under: uncultured fungus
Lineage: Eukaryota; Fungi
Description: sequence contains ITS1
Source: RNAcentral
GUACAUUCGUAGUGCUUACGCACAAUGAUAAUUUCAUUACAUUCGAGUUGGUGUGUAAAAUCCUCUGUCAGCCGAAGCCAGCAAGAGGCCAAAGGUUCACAAGGGUAUUUGGAUGAAAGUCACCAACGUGCACUUGCUGGAACCAGCCAGCACUGAAGGUAACGAUUCACAAUCACUAAUGAUCCUUCCGCAGGUUCACCUACGGAAA